UGGGGAAUAUUGCACAAUGGGCGCAAGCCUGAUGCAGCCAUGCCGCGUGUAUGAAGAAGGCCUUCGGGUUGUAAAGUACUUUCAGCGGGGAGGAAGGGAGUAAAGUUAAUACCUUUGCUCAUUGACGUUACCCGCAGAAGAAGCACCGGCUAACUCCGUGCCAGCAGCCGCGGUAAUACGGAGGGUGCAAGCGUUAAUCGGAAUUACUGGGCGUAAAGCGCACGCAGGCGGUUUGUUAAGUCAGAUGUGAAAUCCCCGGGCUCAACCUGGGAACUGCAUCUGAUGCUGGCAAGCUUGAGUCUCGUAGAGGGGGGUAGAAUUCCAGGUGUAGCGGUGAAAUGCGUAGAGAUCUGGAGGAAUACCGGUGGCGAAGGCGGCCCCCUGGACGAAGACUGACGCUCAGGUGCGAAAGCGUGGGGAGCAAACA
This 427-nucleotide ribosomal RNA is filed under the name uncultured bacterium. Its description in RNAcentral is "partial 16S ribosomal RNA". It matches the Rfam family "Bacterial small subunit ribosomal RNA", at positions 355 to 774 of the family's 1533-position model. The record is from RNAcentral.